AUCAUUAACUGAAUCCAUAGGUUAAUGAGGCGAACCGGGGGAACUGAAACAUCUAAGUACCCCGAGGAAAAGAAAUCAACCGAGAUUCCCCCAGUAGCGGCGAGCGAACGGGGAGGAGCCCAGAGCCUGAAUCAGUGUGUGUGUUAGUGGAAGCGUCUGGAAAGGCGUGCGAUACAGGGUGACAGCCCCGUACACAAAAAUGCACAUAUUGUGAGCUCGAUGAGUAGGGCGGGACACGUGGUAUCCUGUCUGAAUAUGGGGGGACCAUCCUCCAAGGCUAAAUACUCCUGACUGACCGAUAGUGAACCAGUACCGUGAGGGAAAGGCGAAAAGAACCCCGGCGAGGGGAGUGAAAAAGAACCUGAAACCGUGUACGUACAAGCAGUGGGAGCCUCUUAAUGGGGUGACUGCGUACCUUUUGUAUAAUGGGUCAGCGACUUAUAUUCUGUAGCAAGGUUAACCGAAUAGGGGAGCCGAAGGGAAACCGAGUCUUAACUGGGCGUUAAGUUGCAGGGUAUAGACCCGAAACCCGGUGAUCUAGCCAUGGGCAGGUUGAAGGUUGGGUAACACUAACUGGAGGACCGAACCGACUAAUGUUGAAAAAUUAGCGGAUGACUUGUGGCUGGGGGUGAAAGGCCAAUCAAACCGGGAGAUAGCUGGUUCUCCCCGAAAGCUAUUUAGGUAGCGCCUCGUGAAUUCAUCUCCGGGGGUAGAGCACUGUUUCGGCAAGGGGGUCAUCCCGACUUACCAACCCGAUGCAAACUGCGAAUACCGGAGAAUGUUAUCACGGGAGACACACGGCGGGUGCUAACGUCCGUCGUGAAGAGGGAAACAACCCAGACCGCCAGCUAAGGUCCCAAAGUCAUGGUUAAGUGGGAAACGAUGUGGGAAGGCCCAGACAGCCAGGAUGUUGGCUUAGAAGCAGCCAUCAUUUAAAGAAAGCGUAAUAGCUCACUGGUCGAGUCGGCCUGCGCGGAAGAUGUAACGGGGCUAAACCAUGCACCGAAGCUGCGGCAGCGACACUAUGUGUUGUUGGGUAGGGGAGCGUUCUGUAAGCCUGUGAAGGUGGCCUGUGAGGGUUGCUGGAGGUAUCAGAAGUGCGAAUGCUGACAUAAGUAACGAUAAAGCGGGUGAAAAGCCCGCUCGCCGGAAGACCAAGGGUUCCUGUCCAACGUUAAUCGGGGCAGGGUGAGUCGACCCCUAAGGCGAGGCCGAAAGGCGUAGUCGAUGGGAAACAGGUUAAUAUUCCUGUACUUGGUGUUACUGCGAAGGGGGGACGGAGAAGGCUAUGUUGGCCGGGCGACGGUUGUCCCGGUUUAAGCGUGUAGGCUGGUUUUCCAGGCAAAUCCGGAAAACCAAGGCUGAGGCGUGAUGACGAGGCACUACGGUGCUGAAGCGACAAAUGCCCUGCUUCCAGGAAAAGCCUCUAAGCAUCAGGUAACAUCAAAUCGUACCCCAAACCGACACAGGUGGUCAGGUAGAGAAUACCAAGGCGCUUGAGAGAACUCG
Molecule: ribosomal RNA, 1509 nt
Filed under: Escherichia coli
Lineage: Bacteria; Pseudomonadati; Pseudomonadota; Gammaproteobacteria; Enterobacterales; Enterobacteriaceae
Description: partial 23S ribosomal RNA
Rfam family: Bacterial large subunit ribosomal RNA
Source: RNAcentral